Molecule: non-coding RNA, 108 nt
Organism: Acanthosepion pharaonis
Lineage: Eukaryota; Metazoa; Mollusca; Cephalopoda; Sepiida; Sepiidae
Source: the annotation of a GenBank genome assembly
CAUAUCUCGUUGAAGCACCGGUUCUCGUUUGAUCACCGAAAUUAAGCAACGUCCAAUCUGGUCAUUACCUAGGUGAGUGACCGAUUGGGAAUAGCAGGUGCCGUAAGC